RNAcentral lists this ribosomal RNA (263 nucleotides) under uncultured archaeon. Its description in RNAcentral is "partial 16S ribosomal RNA". It matches the Rfam family "Archaeal small subunit ribosomal RNA", at positions 718 to 982 of the family's 1478-position model. The record is from RNAcentral.
CACGACUACAUUAGAUACCCCCGUAGUCCCAGCCCUAAACGAUGCGCGUUAGGUGUAUCGGUGACCACGAGUCACCGAGGUGCCGAAGGGAAACCGUGAAACGUGCCGCCUGGGAAGUACGGUCGCAAGGCUGAAACUUAAAGGAAUUGGCGGGGAGCACCACAACGGGUGGAGCCUGCGGUUUAAUUGGACUCAACGCCGGGAAGCUCACCGGAUAAGACAGCGGAAUGAUUGCCGGGCUGAAGACCCUGCAUGACCAGCUG